Felis catus (domestic cat) is the source of this 8779-nucleotide long non-coding RNA. RefSeq lists it as uncharacterized. The record is from RefSeq and is a predicted model, not a curated record. The transcript is spliced from 3 exons. NCBI's taxonomy places the organism in Eukaryota, Metazoa, Chordata, Mammalia, Carnivora, Felidae.
GAGGGCUUUUCAUCUCACUGCUUGUGGAGAUGCUGAGAUGAACACUUUUUGGUUCACUUUUAUCACUCCAUCUCCUGUCUCCUGCUCUGAGUAAGCAAUCUACGUUUUUGUGCAGCCUCUGGCCACAGGCUGGCUCAUGGAGGUGUGUCUGCUGGCAGAGGCUCCCAGGAGCUCAGUGCUCCUCAGGUGAGGUGAUGUGUGGUCCCGCGGGUUGUUAGGGAAGUUCAGCGAUCUGAACUUAGAUUCGCAGAGCAAAAUAUUUUACCUCCUCGUAGUUUGCCUUUCCAUAUCUUGCCCCUCACGGCAAAUUUGGCAAGCACACUACAAAGUGGCUUUAAAAAGCUGUCUCUGAAAAGCAAUGAGAAGCUGCAAAGCUCUUAAAAAGUCUCUGAAUUUGGGAUAUGUAAUCCAAAUUCAGUAGCUAUAAACUAAGCAGCCAUGACUAUCCCCAAACAUUUCGUCUAGUCCGUCCCACUCAAAGUAGGUCCACGCACAACAGCAACAUGGGAGCUUUUCAGAAAUGGAGCUGCUCAGCCCCUCCCUUCAUUUAUCCAAUUAGAACCUGUGCUUCACCACUCCCCAGGUGAUUUCCAUGCACGUUCAAAUUUGAAAAGCGUUGGCCCAGGUAGCAUUCUUAAUGACUUUGUGGCAUCCUUAAUGACUUGGAAGAAAUAUUUCACAAAAUAUUCGUCAUGGCCGCUUGUAUUUGAAUCUUGCCUCCAUCCACCAAAAGACAAUGUCAUACUUGGUUAAGCUCUCAAGGGAGGAUCAUGGAGACAGCAGGAAGGAGCCAACAAACACUCAGCUGGUCUUGAGGGCAGUGGCCAGCAGAAGUCCAGGACUGUGUAGAAUAUCAGUGGGCUUUGGGGCGCCUGGGUGGCUCAGUCGGUUAAGCCUCCAACUUCAGCUCAGGUCAUGAUCUCACAGUUCAUGAGUUCAAUUCCCUCCUCAGGCUCUCUGCUGUCAACACUGCUUCAGAUCCUCUGUCCCCCUCACACUCUGCCCUCUCCCACUUGUGCUGUCUCUCUCAAAAAUAAACAUUAAAAAAUAUUUUUAAAAAAAGAAUAUCAGCUUUGAAGAAGGUCCAGAAUAUUGACACUGACCCAGGAGUCCUGGCAGGGACUCAGAAGAGUAUGCAAGGCUUGAUAUCAUGUGUCUAAAAUGUUCCACUAACCUCUGGGGUCUCUGCCAAACUUAGGCCUCACAGAAAAGCAGCAUUAAGGUGUAAAGGUUCUGUUAUGGGCUGUUUGUGUCCCUCCUAAAUUCAUAUAUUGAAGCCCUAACUUCCGGUAGCAUAGUGUUAGGAGGCGGGGCCUUUAGGUAAUAAUUAGGUAUAGAUGAUGUCAUGAGGGUAGAAUCUCUAUGAUGAAACCAGUGUCUUUAGAAGGAGAGGAUGAGACUAGGGCCUUCCUCUGUCUCUCUGCCAUGGGAGGAUACAGGAAGAAUGCAGCUAUCUGCAAGACAGGGAGAGGGUUCUCAUCAGAACCAGACCAUGCUGGCAUCCUGAUCUCACACUUGUAGCCUCUAAAACCGUGAGAAAGAAAUUGCUGUGUAAGUCACACAGUCUGCAGUAUUUUGUUACAACCACCUGAACUAAGAAAGGUACAAAGGUAAACUCUAGAGAAUCAGGAAUAUAUUCUGAUCAGCUCCAAAAUGAGAAGAACACAGUAAGAAUUAUUAAUAGAAGUGCUAAUAACUUGGUUGCUGUAAAGGGGACUAUCAACUUUAAAAGGAACAUAAGUAAUUUUAUUUAGCCCUGUUCUUGCAAAAGAAAGAUAGUACAUAACCUCUGAUACCAUCUUAAACCCUCAAUUUAUGCAGAACAUAAACACCUUACUGAACUCUUCAUGUUUUAUCUCAUUCUUUUGUUUUAUUAUGUACAUAUAGAAUAUUCAGCUGGCACACUGGUACCAUACCAGUUAUUAAAAUAGGGAAAUACUUCCAUACUGGUUGGUAAAUAGUGGGUGUCCUGAGACCUCCAGGAGCCCCCUCUCCCAACUCCUGACAUAACCACCCUCAGCACCCUCAUGCAAUAACUUGAGGGUCGAUAUUUGGCAUGGCAGAGACCUUCAGUUCUCCAUCCAUCCAUUCCAGUGCAGUCUGAUCUGAAAGGUAAGUGACCAUGGACUCCCAGGUAUGAAAUUCAGUUCUACACCAAUGAACAUGAAUAUAAAAUGAGAGCACUUGACCAUAAUAGUAGACUCAUAGCCAUGUAAUUUUUAAUAUUGGAUUAAAAACUUUUAAAAUUAUCUGUGCUACCCCUGAAAGCUAAUUAUUAGUAGGAAUUGAAAAUGUGCCUUGACACUCAAGGAUAAAGCAAUGGCUGAUGAGUCAAAAGAGGUAGGGGAGUCUCUACCAACAACAGCUUUGCCCACCUUAGACCUUGGGACAGUGGUCCUGAAGUUUACAAAUCUCCUGCCCCAGAGAUUCUUAGUCAAUAGGUCUGGGCUGGAGCCCAAGACCAUUUUUCAUAAGCUUUGGAUGUCGUUCUAUUGUAAGUGCUCCAGGGUUCAUACUUUCAGAAAUGUAUGAAAUUCUUACUUGUUAUGCAAGCCCCUACCUUAAGAAGUUUCCCUUUGUGAAUUCUUCCUUGAAACACUCUGGUCCCACAUCCUUCUACCAAAAGAAGAGUCUAUCUUUCUUUCACCUUUAUUAACCAUGCAUCCGUCAGGUAUUUAUCAUACUGUGUUGGCAUUAUUUGUUUGCAAGCCUGACUCUGCCUGGAUAUCUUGGUAUCUCUGGCAUCUGACUCAGCAUAUGGCAAACACUAAUUGAUACACUGGUUGAUUAGAAAGUAGGGGUAGGGGCUGAUGCUGGGCAAUAUUUACUGAGCAUCUCAACCAAUUAUAUAAAAUGUUUCCUUAAGGGGUGCUAUAGCACACCCUUUAUGAUAUCUUCCUCAGUAUCAGACUUUGUUGUCUCACCCUCAGGCUCCUGUGGCACCUAGAAGUUCCCACUUUUAUGUAGAGAAAUUUGUUGGCCUGAACCUCUAGGAGAAAGCCUAGAGUCUUCUUAGACCUUUGAGUAAAGUUUUAAAGGUUUGUUUUACCAGUAACAUCUGAGACUCCACCCUCAGUGUAGGUUAUUGAGGUAAUUUACCAUUUGAUUACCUUCUCAAUAAAUAUCUUAUAGCUAAUAAAAAUCAGAACAUGUACUAUAAACAUUCAUUUCUUAAAGCAUAUAUUUAAGAUCCAUUAUUCAUAAAACUACAACUAUAACUUUUUAAAUAUGCUUUAACACAUUAGCACACAGAGACACUUGAAUACUUUUUUUAAAAAAAGAUUUUAUUAUUUUUAAGUAAUCUCUACAAGCAACGUGGGGCUCGAACUUAACAACCCUGAGAUCAAGAAUGGUACGCUGUACUGACUGAGCCAGCCAAGUGCCCCCAGGAGACACUUAAUGAAUACUUUUGAUGCUAGAAAUGAAAAAAGGUUAGAUAUUGUUAUUGCCACAUUUUACUUCAUUAUGAUUACGGAACUUAAUUUUGCCACAAGACAAGAGUAAGCAGUAGCUAUUUCCUUUGACAUGUCUGAUUGAACUUCUUUGUAUAUCACCUAACUCAACAUUAAAAUAGGUGUUAAAUAAAUGCCUUUGCAUUUUACAACUGAAGCCUUCACAAUAUUUCUAAUGGUGAUUAAGUAGCGGGUCUAAUUAUACAUCACAUCCAUUACUCUAAUGUUCCUUUAGCUCUAAAGCUCUAUGAUGCCACAGAAUCAAGAACAAAGCUUGGCACAGUUAAAGAGCACACUCUGAAGCUUCACAUGCUGGCAAGAGACUGCUUCUCAGGUGCUUUUCCAAGUAGCUUCACUCUCAGCAUCUAUUUUCUGUUGUGAUGAUGAUUUAGUAAUAGCCAGUGUCUUUAUGGCAGAUCAUGGAAAAAAAAAGUAAUGUGUGUUUGUUUGGUUUGCGCUGUUUAUUUAGGUCUCCAAUUCUCCAAUUCUCUCCCAAAGCAGGUGACGGCUUUGCUUCAACCACAGUAGUCAUGGUCAACAUGGAAGGAGUUCUCUUGGGGAUUUUAUCAACAAACUUUCCAAUUUGCCUUACUAACAAGGAGAAGGCAGUGUGAUGGGAGUAGUGCCCCAGUUCUACUGUGUCUUCUUAAGCACUGCUCCGAGGCUGAUAUCAAGUUCCCUGGAGGCUCCACUUUAAUACAAUAUGUGGAUGACUUCUCUGCUUCUCUUUCCAAGCCUCCUCACAAGAAGAUAGCAUCUAUGUGCUAAAACUCCUAGCCAAAAAGGGAUACACCAUCUCUAAGGAGACAUUACAAUUUGUUCAAACUCAAGUUCAAUAUUUAGGACAUCUAAUCUCAGAACAAGGACUUCAUUUGGAUCCAGACAAUUUUCAUGGCAUCCUGAACUUCCCAAAGCCUCAAACCAAAUGUCAACUGUGAGGUUUUCUUGAAUUGACAGAUUAUUAUUGCAACUGUAUCCCAAACUUCUCCUUAUGGCCCAACCUUUAUACACCUGACCCUAUCAUCUAGGAAGAUCCAGAUGACAUAACUUUCCAAUGUCAAAAGAAAGUUUAAUAAAGCCCCUUGCUCUUGAACACCCAAAUUAUCAGCUCCCUUUCUUCCUUUUUGCAUACAAAAAAGAAAGGAAUGCCUGAAGCCUGGGCAUAUGCCUUCCCCAUGCCUCCCAGCUUCACCUGCUACUUACUGUCUUUUUUUGUGAAGGCCACUGAGAAAACAGUCUUUGCAUCCCCUUUAACCACUUCUGUGCUGUGAAAGCUCUCCUUACCUUUCGUCACACUCAGUUUCUUUCUAUAGGCUAUCUCACCUCCUGUGAAAUUCUGUGUACCGCCCCUUAUGUUACUUUUGCUUGUUGUAAUAACCUUAACCCUGACACUCUUCUCACCUCCUCUACCAAUUAAACCACCCAUAACUGCUUAAUACUGACAGAUCACCUUCUUGCCCAUAUGAUGACUUACAGGAAACUUCUUUGGAUAACGGUUGACUUUUCAUUGUUCACUGAUGGUUCGUAGUUAAAAGAUGAAAAUGGCAAAUACUGUGUUGGGUAUGCAACAUCAACUCCUUCUGAAGUAACUGAAGCAGCACCCUUGCCUUUGGCUACUUCAGCCUAACAAGGAACUACAAUCACACACAUGGGUCUAUGUUCCAGCCAAAGGCAAAACUGCCAGCAUUUACACCAACAGUAUAUAUGCCUUUGGAGUGGCUCCCAAUUUUGGAAUGUUAUGGAAACAAUGUGGCUUCUUUACUUCCAGUGAAGAUAAAAAUUAAAAGCAGCCCUUACAUUCAGGAAUUACUGGAUGUCAUACUCUUACCUGCUGCUUCGGCUAUUAUUAAAAUCCUGGAGCAUUAUAAACUUGACUUUCUGGAAGCUAAAGGAAAACAUCUCACUGACAUUUCCAUUUAAAAAUGCUAUCCUCAAAGGGUCUAGAAGUCAAAUCUCUGUCAUGGUGCAAAGGAACUCACGUCCAGAGGAUAAUCUGGAGAAACUGACUAGAGACACCCAACAGUAAAACAAGAUUGGCAAUCAAAUGGUUGUUAGUAUGAUAAGAAGAGAAACUUCUGGUUUGGACCAAGUACAAACCUGGCCCUACCAGAAAUUCUAAAGUUCCCACUAUUGACCAACAUGCAUUGAACCACUGGUAUAAAGAUAAAAUGAUGUUCAUAAGUUAAUAGUUGUAGGGAAAUACCAACAAGACUACAAAAAGUACCUACUUUGCUUUCCCCACCUGCCAAAAAUACAAUCCAGGGAAACCUGUCGACACUAUUCCUAGGCACUUUAAAUUGCCUAAUGGCUCAUUUGAAUUUUGGCAAAUGGAUUUUAUUCAGCUACCCCUACCUCAUGGAUACAAAUAUGUCUUGGUAAUGAUUUGUAUGUCUUCCCACUGGCCAAAGCCCUUCCAUGUAGACUAGCUACUAUUUUUCUUCAGUAGCUAAAAUCUUAUUAGAAUACAACCAUCCCUACGUGGGGAAUGCCUCUUGAGCUCCAUAGCAACUGAAGAACCCAUUCUAUUGGUCAAAUACUAUGGCAAGUCUGUGCCGUUUGGCCAGUUCUAUAGCAUUUUCACUGUGUUUACCAUCCUCAGUCUUCAAGGCUAGUCAAAGGAACCAAAAUAAAUUAAAAAUUUUAUGGAAACCCUCCAAAUACCUUGGCCAAAAGUAUUGCCAUUGGGCCUUCUAAAUCUCAGAUCCACUCCCUUUAACUCAUAAACUCUCACCCUUUGAGACAAAUACUGGGUUCCUGAUGCAUCUAGCUUCUCCCUUUUCUGAUCUGCACGCAAUAAAGGAGACAUAUGUUACUGUUGCAAAGCUCUAAUUACAUCCCUUAAAAAUAAUCAUACUCUAGUAGGGCAAUCUUUUCACAGCGCACUCCCAGGAGACAAAGACAUCAAACACCACACUCUGCAACCUAGGAAUUUUGCUUGUAGGAAGAGACAUCUCAAAAAACCUCUUUUCAAGCACACUGGAAAGGCCCUUACCAAGUGUUACUAACCAAUCCUCAUGCCACCAAACUGCAAGGAGUUGACUCUUGGAUCAAUGUUCUUCAUCUAAAGAAAGCCCCUGACUAGAACUACACACCAACUGGUGACCUCAAAUUAAAGAUUUCCAGGAACUUAAGCAGACAGCUUUCCCAAGAUGACAGGAUCAGGCCUGUUCUCCUUUCUGCUUUUUCUCACCUUGUUUUCUCUUUCUCUGUCCUGGAAAGACAUUUCCCUUGCUUUCAUUUCCCAAUCCAUCGCAGAAGGAGGAAACUUUUCUGAUUGUUCGGAAAACCCUGAUCUGGCCAUGACAGACGUGAUCCUUUAGUCUUCCCCAUAGCAAACUUUUCCUUCAUUCCCAAUGUGACCUCUAAUAAUACCUGCACCCCUCCAGGUGUUUCUCACUGAGUCAAACCUCAACAACCACGUUCUCCUAUGCCUUGCUUUGACCUCUCCCCAUUAUAACUCCCAAUGCAACUAACUGUACCUAUUCCACCCAUACAGUUUCCCAUUCUCCCUAAUACCUCAGGUCUGUGUGCAGUAGCAAAAGAACUUCCCUCUGUACAGCCAUCAAGAAUAAAGUCCACAUAACAGAACGGUUUCUCCUUAAUUAUUCCCCAAACACCACUGACCCUUGACUUGGAAGAACCAAUCAAGUAAUUCCAAGUAAUGGCACUAUUAGUAAUCAGCCCCCAAUAGGAAUUUUAUGUGCACCACCUGGUUUAAUCGUUGCGUGUGGUGAAUUGGCCUCUAAAUGGGCCUGUGAAUGUACUGGAAGAUUUGAUUCCUGUGGCCAUCCACAAUAAAUUGGAAGCCUCCCAUGGUCCUCCAUUGGUCUUUUCCAUUAAGCUUUUAUCACCACCUCAAAUGGGAAUUCAUAGGACAUAUACAUGACUCUGUAUUUGCCUCCUUUGGAAGGGCACUUAUCCCUUCUGUGCAUGUUCACGCCAAUGAACAAAUAAUUAGAAAUCUCUUUCUGGAAUUGGGAAAACUUACUUAUUCUACCACUAUGGCAAUAACGGGCCAACAAUGAUCACUUAGCUCAUAAGUCAAAGUAGUUUUAAACAAUUGCAUAGCACUUGAUUACCUACUUGCUGAACAGGGAGGCAUUUGUGUGAUAACAAACAUGGCCUGUUGCACAUGGAUAAAUUCCUUCAAUUACAUAAUAUUAGAGGAACAAGCACAUUGGCCACAAAAAAUUCCACCUGAUGAUCUAUGGUGCUUUGAUCUCUUUAGCUGGCUUGGGCUUCUGGUUUAGGACUAUAAUACAAGCUGGGGUCACUAUUCUGCUCCUCAUCUUAUUUUGUGUAAACAUUGUUAAAGCUUUGUACCUGUUGCCUGUUGAACCUUUGUAGUAACAAAGUACCCAAUACGGUGAUGCUGACUCAGUGCUUCCAGAUGAUCCCCAACACUUACAACUUUGAUAAGAUGUAGACCUUGGAUGGGAAAUGCCAGAAAGCUCUCCCUCCCCACCCUUGCUUAUUUUCAAAAUAUGGCCUCAGUGUCUUCCAGUCUAUGUACUUUCCUUCCAGCAUGGGAUGUGACAUCUGGAAAAGGUCCUUCCUGGCACCAAGGGACAAAAACGAUUCCAAUAAGGAAUAGAUGAUCCAGAGAAAGAUCUUUAUCAAAAGGGGGAAAUAUGAAAAUGUGUUAAGGAAAACCUAACUCAAAAUUGGAGCCAGGAAGCCUGUAAGGGGGUAGUUCUCAUGCUCAUGGCACUUUUCACAGCUUGCAAAAUCCAGCAAGAUGAAGACUUCCUCUCCACUAGCAAUAGCAAGCUGCCCUCACCUCCAGCCAAUGAAGGGCCACCACUUCAAUUGCCUGCAACCAAUGAAAAGUUGCCACUACUUUAAACUCAUCUUUCUCCAAUGAACUUUUGUUCAAAACAACCCCUUCCUAACUUCCUCCUUUCCUCUAUGAAGAGACACUUUUCUCCUUUGUUCUCUGGACUUGUCUACGGUUUGCCACGGUUUGCUUGUCCUGAAUUGCAAUUCUUCUGCUUUUCCCAAAUAAACUAGAUUUUGCUGGCUGAAUCCUUUACCUUUCCCUUUUAAAAGAUUGACAGCAUGUAGCCCAGUCAGCUCAACUAGAGAUGAGAAAUGAGAUUCUACCCAAUUUCACCUAAUUAUAGGAGAUUUUAAUAACGUUAAAAUGUUUCUGCUAAAAGGAAAAGUUGUUGAUAUUACUGGUGAUUUUUUCCACAACACCUUCAUCCUUAAAAAUGUAGAGGUGGCUCAGUUGGCUAAGCGAGUCUGACUUUGUCUCUGUUCAUGAUCUCGCAAUUCGUGAGUUCAAACCCUGUGUCAGGCUCUGUGCUGGCAGCUGGGAGCCUGGA